Molecule: transfer RNA, 67 nt
Filed under: bovine gut metagenome
Rfam family: tRNA
About the family: Transfer RNA (tRNA) molecules are approximately 80 nucleotides in length. Their secondary structure includes four short double-helical elements and three loops (D, anti-codon, and T loops). Further hydrogen bonds mediate the characteristic L-shaped molecular structure. tRNAs have two regions of fundamental functional importance: the anti-codon, which is responsible for specific mRNA codon recognition, and the 3' end, to which the tRNAs corresponding amino acid is attached (by aminoacyl-tRNA synthetases). tRNAs cope with the degeneracy of the genetic code in two manners: having more than one tRNA (with a specific anti-codon) for a particular amino acid; and 'wobble' base-pairing, i.e. permitting non-standard base-pairing at the 3rd anti-codon position.
Source: RNAcentral
AAGAUAGUUUAAUCGGUAAAACACUCGGCUUAUAACCGAGCGAUAUGAGUUCAAGUCUCAUUCUUAG